Molecule: long non-coding RNA, 1397 nt
Filed under: Equus caballus (horse)
Lineage: Eukaryota; Metazoa; Chordata; Mammalia; Perissodactyla; Equidae
Description: lncRNA (ENSECAG00000055664.1)
Source: RNAcentral
CAAAGAGACCCACGCCCUAAUCUCCCUUAACCUAUGAAUAGGUUGCUUUAUAUGGCAAAAGAGCUUUGCAGACGUGAUUAAUGGACCUUGAGGUGGAGAGCGAUGCCUGGAUCAUCCAGGUGGGUUCAAUCUAACACGUCCUUAAAAACAAAGACCCAUUCCUGGCUGCAGAGAACCAGAGAGACGGUGGUGUGAGGAGGACCUGGCUUGUCAUUGCUGGCUUCAAAGAUGGAGGAAGGAGCCAUGAGCCAAGAAAUGUGGAUUGCCUCUAGAAGCUGGAAAAGGCAAAGGAACAGCUUCUCUCCUAGAACCUCCAAAAAGGAAACCAUUUAGCCAGCUCCUUGAUUUUAGCCCAGUGAGAGCCAUUUCGCGCUUCUGAACUCCAGAACCGUAAGAUGUCCCGGAAAUCUCUGGAGUCUCUGCUCAUUUCCACCGCAGCAAGUGCUGAGAGCGCUGCCGACCGCUCCGCACACUGGUGAUGACCGCCUCCGCCAUUCGUCCACAUGGAUUCAUCUCGCGCAGCCGCCGACGGGAGCAGUGCAUUGAGGAGGGCGUGGGGAGAAAGCUGGGACAGGCAGCAGGGGGAUGCAGGGGGAGGGGACUGGAGACUGGUCUCGGGAACCUGUGAGGAGACUGAGACCACCGCCGUCUGUCUGCAAACAGCGGGCCAUCCCUUCCCAGUGCACUGGUGUUGGCUUUGGCCCCUGGGAGGCCAUACAUACAUAUACAACACACACCCCUAUACACACCCCACACCACACACUACACCCAUUUACACCACAUACUAUACGCUAUAUAUAUACACAUCACACACACACACACACCCCAAAUACAUGCUACACACACAACACACACAUGCACACCAUACACACAAACAGCACUCACACUCUACACUCACACCCCCCCCCCCCAAAAUCCCCCUUAUCACACACAGAGUUUCUCUCUCCUUCCCCCUUUGUCCCUCCCAGGGCUGAGCUGUGUCUGCUGUGCAUUUAUGUCUGUGUGACGUGCACACGUGUGACCCGAGUGGGGCAGCUGCAGCCGCACCCCUGAGCUGGGCCGGGAGCAGCGAGCGUCCUGCCCCUGACACUGGUGUCCCCCGCCGUCCCAUCCGGAGACCUGGGAAUGCGUGGGAACCCGGAGGAAGGGAGCUGGUUUUUCUCUAAGUUCUCAAUUCCAGAAAGUGUUGUUUCGGUAAAUUGCCCCCCUCCCCCCAACAAGCAAACAUCCAAGGGGAGAACAAGAACCACAGAUAACAGAAUAUUUUGCUAAGGUAAAUGCCAGAGAAAAACCAUUUUCUGUGUGUCUUCCGAUUUUGGAACUGUAUCUGUGUGAGGUAUCUUCGUCUUCUGUGAGCAUAACUGAUGCUUUCAGGAAAGGCGCAGAAGAACUGAGCU